AGGAUGAACGCUGGCGGCGUGCCUAAAACAUGCAAGUCGAGCGGUAAGGCCCUUUCGGGGGUACACGAGCGGCGGACGGGUGAGUAACACGUGGGAAUCUACCCCAAACUGAGGGAUAAGCAUCGGAAACGAUGUCUAAUACCGCAUAUGGUCUUCGGAUUAAAGCUUCGGCGGUUUGGGAAGAGCCCGCGUAAGAUUAGCUAGUUGGUGAGGUAAAGGCUCACCAAGGCGACGAUCUUUAGCUGGUUUGAGAGGAUGAUCAGCCACACUGGAACUGAGACACGGUCCAGACUCCUAGGGAGGCAGCAGUUAGGAAUUUUCCACAAU
Molecule: ribosomal RNA, 327 nt
Filed under: uncultured bacterium
Lineage: Bacteria
Description: SSU rRNA
Rfam family: Bacterial small subunit ribosomal RNA
Source: RNAcentral